GACGAACGCUGGCGGCGUGCUUAACACAUGCAAGUCGAACGGAAAGGCCCUGCUUUUGUGGGGUGCUCGAGUGGCGAACGGGUGAGUAACACGUGAGUAACCUGCCCUUGACUUUGGGAUAACUUCAGGAAACUGGGGCUAAUACCGGAUAGGAGCUCCUGCUGCAUGGUGGGGGUUGGAAAGUUUCGGCGGUUGGGGAUGGACUCGAGGGUUAUCAGCUUGUUGGGGGGGUAGUGGCUUACCAAGGCUUUGACGGGUAGCCGGCCUGAGAGGGGGGCCGGCCUCAUUGGGACUGAGAGACGGCCCAGACUCCUACGGGAGGCAGCAGUGGGGAAUAUUGCACAGUGGGCGGAAGCCUGAUGCAGCAACGCCGCGUGCGGGAUGACGGCCUUCGGGUUGUAAACCGCUUUCGCCUGUGACGAAGCGUGAGUGACGGUAAUGGGUAAAGAAGCACCGGCUAACUACGUG
RNAcentral lists this ribosomal RNA (468 nucleotides) under uncultured bacterium. RNAcentral's name for it is "partial 16S ribosomal RNA". It matches the Rfam family "Bacterial small subunit ribosomal RNA", at positions 28 to 507 of the family's 1533-position model. The record is from RNAcentral.